UGGUGUCGCCCAACUGGCUUGGAACCCAGG
This 30-nucleotide non-coding RNA is filed under the name Mus musculus (house mouse). Lineage: Eukaryota; Metazoa; Chordata; Mammalia; Rodentia; Muridae. The record is from RNAcentral.